CGGACGGGUGAGUAAUGCCUAGGAAUCUGCCUGGUAGUGGGGGACAACGUUUCGAAAGGAACGCUAAUACCGCAUACGUCCUACGGGAGAAAGCAGGGGACCUUCGGGCCUUGCGCUAUCAGAUGAGCCUAGGUCGGAUUAGCUAGUUGGUGAGGUAAUGGCUCACCAAGGCGACGAUCCGUAACUGGUCUGAGAGGAUGAUCAGUCACACUGGAACUGAGACACGGUCCAGACUCCUACGGGAGGCAGCAGGA
Molecule: ribosomal RNA, 254 nt
Filed under: uncultured Pseudomonas sp.
Lineage: Bacteria; Pseudomonadati; Pseudomonadota; Gammaproteobacteria; Pseudomonadales; Pseudomonadaceae
Description: partial 16S ribosomal RNA
Rfam family: Bacterial small subunit ribosomal RNA
Source: RNAcentral